RNAcentral lists this ribosomal RNA (297 nucleotides) under Baltidrilus costatus. RNAcentral describes it as "partial 23S-like ribosomal RNA". It matches the Rfam family "Eukaryotic large subunit ribosomal RNA", at positions 674 to 937 of the family's 3401-position model. The record is from RNAcentral. Lineage: Eukaryota; Metazoa; Annelida; Clitellata; Tubificida; Naididae.
UCUAACAUGUGCGCGAGUCAGUGGGUGCUACGAAACCUAGGGGCGAAGUGAAAGCAAAGGCCGUUCCUUGCGUUCGGCUUGGGUAGGAUCCUCUGUCGCACGCGGCGGAGGCGCACUACCGGCCCGUCUCGGCCGCAACGUCGGCGAGGCGGAGCAAGAGCGUACACGUUGGGACCCGAAAGAUGGUGAACUAUGCCCGAGUAGGACGAAGCCAGAGGAAACUCUGGUGGAGGUCCGCAGCGAUUCUGACGUGCAAAUCGAUCGUCAAACUUGGGUAUAGGGGCGAAAGACUAAUCG